Molecule: ribosomal RNA, 460 nt
Filed under: uncultured bacterium
Lineage: Bacteria
Description: partial 16S ribosomal RNA
Rfam family: Bacterial small subunit ribosomal RNA
Source: RNAcentral
CCUACGUGAGGCUGCAGUGAGGAAUAUUGGUCAAUGGACGAGAGUCUGAACCAGCCAAGUAGCGUGAAGGAUGACUGCCCUAUGGGUUGUAAACUUCUUUUAUAAAGGAAUAAAACGAGGCACGUGUGCCUUUUUGCAUGUACUUUAUGAAUAAGGAUCGGCUAACUCCGUGCCAUCAGCCGCGGUAAUACGGAGGAUCCGAGAGUUAUCCGGAUUUAUUGGGGUAAAAGGGAGCGUAGAUGGGUUGUUAAGUCAGUUGUGAAAGUUUGCGGCUCAACCGUAAAAUUGCAAUUGAUACUGGCAGUCUUGAGUACAGUUGAGGUAGGCGGAAUUCGUGGUGUAGCGGUGAAAUGCUUAGAUAUCACGAAGAACCCCGAUUGCGAAGGCAGCUUACUAAACUGUGACUGACAUUGAUGCUCGAAAGUGUGGGUAUCAAACAGGAUUAGAUACCCCUGUAGUC